GAUCCAUUCAUCCAACAAUUCAUUACAACAUAGGGUGCACUACUACCAUAUGAAAAUCGGGGAUUUAAAUGUAAGGCAAUUAUAGGAUGCGGAUAAAUUGCUUUCCCUUUUUAUUAAGAAAACAUGGAAACUUACGAAUGAGGAAGAAGCUUUAAUCUUCCAGCUAUAAAAAGUCUGGAGCCUGUUUUGAACUGACUGUCGAUAUCUACUGUAAUGGGAACGCUCUUCACAUACAUGUUUAAAAUUAAAAAAUUUCACUUGAAAUGAAUUCGUUACUUUAAAAUGAAUUCUUGCCUGAAAUGAAUUCGUAGUGCAGAAUA
Long non-coding RNA from Megachile rotundata (alfalfa leafcutting bee), 320 nucleotides. The record is from RefSeq and is a predicted model, not a curated record. Lineage: Eukaryota; Metazoa; Arthropoda; Insecta; Hymenoptera; Megachilidae.